This is a long non-coding RNA of Xenopus tropicalis (tropical clawed frog), 2439 nucleotides long. RefSeq lists it as uncharacterized. The record is from RefSeq and is a predicted model, not a curated record. Lineage: Eukaryota; Metazoa; Chordata; Amphibia; Anura; Pipidae. The transcript has 3 exons.
UCUGAUCAGCGCUCUCCUUGUUCGGCCUGUGAGUUUAGGUGGACGGCCUUGUCUUGGUAGGUUUACAGUUUACAAGAUUCCUGACUUCUUCUUCCACAUACAUAGGCUGGCUCCAUCUCUACUUUCCAGUUUCUUUUUUCCAGACACAUCGAGACAUCACUAAACAACCUUAUCUCCCUUACCCGCGUCAGUAUCAUUUCUUGCUACCAGUCUCUUAAUGAAUUAGUGAAGGAUCUUCACCCAGUUGCAUGUGCCAGUGCAAAGAAGCUAAAAAAGUCUGAAGAGCCUUCUAGGUGAAAAAAGAGUAAACGCACUCUAAGGAAGUUAAGAAUGACUUCUGCUCUAACUGCAAGCCCAAAGCACCUAAGGCUCCUAUAUUAUCUCCACAUCCAGCCCCUGCAACUGUUUGUGCUACUCCUAUUCACACUACAGCUACUGAGGAGACCCCUGUGCAUCCUAUCACAGAACUCUCAGAUCCCUCUACCAUCCACCUCACCGAUGUCACCUCAGCUUGGUAGCCUUUUGGACUGUAUCAAACAUCCUAUUAAAUCCUCCCUCACUAAUACUGCACCACUUAAGAAGCACAGGGAACCAUGCCCCCUACUUACAUCCUCCAACUCAGAGGAGGGCCAGCUCUCCAACUUAGAUCCAGAGCCUCUCUUUGACUCAGAAUAACUCUCCUCAUUCUAGCUCCUUAGAGGACAGUGAAGAGGACCAUACUUCAUUGGCCAAACCGGGAACCUCAAAACACCUACUGGGAAAACUGAUUCAUCCUUGGCCAGACUAUCCAAGCUGGUCCAAGGUCCUGAAAUGCAGCCUCUUCAGCUUGCAAGAUGGUAUAUCUUGCAAGCUGAAGAGGCUGCAUUUCAGGACCCAAUGGACAAGAGGAUGGAAACCAUUCUAAAAAAGUCCUUUACUAAGACGGCAUCAAUUCUUAGGCCAGCAGUCAUUUUUACAGAUCUUGCUUGCACUGUGAGACAUUGGGCUCAAGAACUGGCCUGCAAACCUCCCUCCUCCUCACAUCAUCUUACAUCUGAACUUGAACUGCACCUGACCAUCCUCUCAAAUGCUGUUAUCGACAUUGGCAGACUAGUGGUAAAUGCCGCAGCCAGCUUAGUCAUGGCACAACGUGCUCUUUGGCUACAUCACAGGUUACUUGCCCUUAAAUUCACAAGGGUGUCUCUUUUUGGCCCCGACCUUAAGCAAAUGAUCAUGGACAUCAUGGGUGGAAAAGUACUUUUCAAGCUCAAAGGAAAAAGCAUAGGCUGGACCAGUCUGUUAGUCAAUUCGCUAGAAGAUGUCCUGAGCCUGAACCUGUCUGAGCUUUACAUUGAUUUGGUAAGUAGUGGCACAGCCAGCACAUAUUUUGGGAAAGAGGAGUCAAGAGCCUUGUUCUUCUGACCUGCCUCAAGAGGUGAAAAAAAUACAAAACCUCUACGUGUGCACUAACAGUCCGGGCCUACUAGAAAGGAAUUUUCCGGUCUAAAAUCCCCUUUUUUUUACAAAUGGAGUGCUGGUCCUGCUAUAUUGCAUAUAUAUGCUUGUGUGUGUAAUAUAUAUAAUAUAUAGUUUAUUGAACUUGAUGAAGAAAAGCAGUAAUUUUCACUUGGCUUUCAUUUCAUAUUGUCCCCAGAAAAGCUGGUUGAGGAAGACUUGGAGGAGGACCAGGAUGUGUUCACCCCAGAAAAGCUAAUUUUAGUGCGUGAGGAAUACCUGGAGGCAGAUGCGGCUGGUAAGAAGUUACUGGAGAAGCGCUAUGGCAAGCAUAUGAUACUAAAAGCAGUGGAAAGAAAAUCUACUGAAUGGCUGGAGACAAAUACCCAGCAGUGCCCAAACUGCAAUGCCAGUAUCCAGGCAAGUCAAGGAACAAACUGCAACCUUUAGCACUAAGUCCUUGCCCGACUCUCCAUUUUUUGUUAAAGAAUAUUUGUUAGUUAUACAGUAUGUGUGCAUACAAAUCAGUUGCAUCAAACCUUCCAGUGGAUUACAAGUCCCUGGGAGCAUUGUGUUACUGCCUGCAAUUGUUUUAUUAAACUGGCGCAACCUAUAAACCAUAAAUUUCUUAAUAGUACCCACUGCAUGUUUACUUCUACAGAAAGAUGGCGGCUGCAACAAGAUGAUUUGUAGAAAAUGUAACAAAUACUUCUGUUGGCUGUGCUUUGCUGUACUGUCCACAGAAAACCCGUACGAUCAUUUCAAAGAUAUUUCAUCAGUCUGCUUCAAUCAGAUGUGGAAAGAAGAUAGGGCAGAGCCCGAAACAUGAACACUAACCAUCAGUGCAUAGGAGGAUGCGCUGUUAUUGGCACAUUGUUAAAGAGUGUUUUCCCUUAAACAGACACAAACAAUAUGAUGAGAGAAAUGCAGAAAAGUACCCUUAUUCCUCAGUGCCUGUUUAGUGGAAAAUAAAUGGCAAAUAAACCACAGCCCUUUUAUCCGUAA